UUCAUCAUCGAUUUCUGACCAAAAACAAAAAUCAAAAUUCAUCUCUCUUCUUUACUGCUACUAUUACUACUCUCUAUUUCUCUUUACUGCUACUGAGCAUUCUACACCUCCAUUUCUUGCUGCUUGAACUCCUGGAAACUUGGGAGUUUCUUGAGUUUGUUCCUAUUUAUUCCUGGCUGUCUGCUUGCUAUUGUUAGUCUGCUAUCCUAGAAUUAUUAAUGGUAUGCUCUUUUAUGUUACAUAGCAUCCUUGUUCAAUUCCUAUGCUUCUAACCCUUUUCUUUCU
RNAcentral lists this long non-coding RNA (285 nucleotides) under Nicotiana benthamiana. RNAcentral's name for it is "long non-coding RNA (NBEN_LNC021078)". The record is from RNAcentral. Lineage: Eukaryota; Viridiplantae; Streptophyta; Magnoliopsida; Solanales; Solanaceae.